UGGGGAAUAUUGCACAAUGGGCGCAAGCCUGAUGCAGCCAUGCCGCGUGUGUGAAGAAGGCCUUCGGGUUGUAAAGCACUUUCAGCGAGGAGGAAGGUGGUGAACUUAAUACGUUCAUCAAUUGACGUUACUCGCAGAAGAAGCACCGGCUAACUCCGUGCCAGCAGCCGCGGUAAUACGGAGGGUGCAAGCGUUAAUCGGAAUUACUGGGCGUAAAGCGCACGCAGGCGGUUUGUUAAGUCAGAUGUGAAAUCCUCGGGCUCAACCUGGGAACUGCAUUUGAAACUGGCAAGCUAGAGUCUCGUAGAGGGGGGUAGAAUUCCAGGUGUAGGCGGUGAAAUGCGUAGAGAUCUGGAGGAAUACCGGUGGCGAAGGCGGCCCCCUGGACGAAGACUGACGCUCAGGUGCGAAAGCGUGGGGAGCAAACAGGAUUAGAGUACCCUGGUAGUCCACGCUGUAAACGAUGUCGAUUUGGAGGUUGUGCCCUUGAGGCGUGGCUUCCGGAGCUAACGCGUUAAAUCGACCGCCUGGGGAGUACGGCCGCAAGGUUAAAACUCAAAGGAAUUGACGGGGUCAU
RNAcentral lists this ribosomal RNA (577 nucleotides) under uncultured bacterium. RNAcentral's name for it is "partial 16S ribosomal RNA". It matches the Rfam family "Bacterial small subunit ribosomal RNA", at positions 355 to 922 of the family's 1533-position model. The record is from RNAcentral.